ACCAACAAAAAUAUAUACAGAAUAACGAGAGGAAUAGAGAGUAGUGAGAGAGAGAUAAGCAAAGGAGAGAAAAAUAGUGGAUCUGGAAACGAAAAAAUUGAGUGUUUCUCCUUUCUCAUAGCAGCAACAAAAAAUCACUACUUCUUCACCAAAAAAUCACUGAAAUCCCCCACAAAUUUCUGCUUGAAAUUAGCUUAAGAAAUCCAUCUAGGUGUUUACCUCGAAAUAGUCCAUUUCUUUUAUCAAAACAACAGCGUCAAGAGUUGAAUCGAAGGCACCAUUCAAAAACUUCGGUCGUCAAUUCCGGUUGAGAUCGUCGGCGAAUGUUCUAUAAAGAAAUUGUGCAGUAAUUGCAAUUUGAACUAAAUCCAUCAAUACAAAGGUCAUUUUUCCUUUUCUUCUAAAAGCUCUAAACCACUUCGUUAUUUUAAAUAUUCCGAAGCUUACGUUGAUUGUUUUGCUUUGUCUUACUUAAUUUUGAAAAGAAGAAAUAUGAAAUCUCACUUUAUUCAUGUUUAAUGCAUAAAUUUGAUUCCUGUUUGGUACAUGUUGAAGUUUAACAAAUUUUUCUUUUGUGAUGAGCAUGAAUAACCAGUUUUGAUUCCUUUUGCAAGCUCAUAUCUAUUAUAGUGGAUUAAUAGUGUUAAGGAACAAGUUUGAUUAUAGCUAAGAUUUUAGAAUUGAAAAAAUAUCUUUGGACUCUUAUGUUUUCUCUUAAAUUUUGAUAAAUAAUAGGAUUUAGUUAUUAAAGAACGAAGUAUCCUCAUGUUGUAAUAUGUUUGGAUGAAAUAUCGAGUGAACAAGAUUUUGAAUUAUUGGUUAGAACUGAUGGGAUGCUUUGAGUUGAUAUUGUUUAGUGAAGAUCUGUAUGAGAAUCUUUUAUUAAUUUUUAAUUAAAUAG
Molecule: long non-coding RNA, 901 nt
Filed under: Nicotiana benthamiana
Lineage: Eukaryota; Viridiplantae; Streptophyta; Magnoliopsida; Solanales; Solanaceae
Description: long non-coding RNA (NBEN_LNC035049)
Source: RNAcentral